UUUUUAAAUGAUGAUUUCUUAUCGCCCCAGUCUGAUGUGUCAUGACUGAUUGAUUGACUCUGAUAAAUC
Rhinichthys klamathensis goyatoka is the source of this 69-nucleotide small nucleolar RNA. Lineage: Eukaryota; Metazoa; Chordata; Actinopteri; Cypriniformes; Leuciscidae. The record is from RefSeq and is a predicted model, not a curated record.